GACGAACGCUGGCGGCGUGCCUAAUACAUGCAAGUAGAACGCUGAAGGCGGAGCUUGCUUCUCAGGAUGAGUUGCGAACGGGUGAGUAACGCGUAGGUAACCUGUCUGUUAGCGGGGGAGAACUAUUGGAAACGAUAGCUAAUACCGCAUAAGAGUAGAUGUCGCAUGACAUUUGCUUAAAAGGUGCACCUGCACCACUACUAGAUGGCCCUGCGUUGUAUUAGCUAGAUGGUGAGGUAACGGCUCACCAAGGAAACGAUACAUAGCCGACCUGAGAGGGUGAUCGGCCACACUGGGACUGAGACACGGCCCAGACUCCUACGGGAGGCAGCAGUAGGGAAUCUUCGGCAAUGGACGGAAGUCUGACCGAGCAACGCCGCGUGAGUGAAGAAGGUUUUCGGAUCGUAAAGCUCUGUUGUAAGAGAAGAACGAGUGUGAGAGUGGAAAGUUCACACUGUGACGGUAUCUUACCAGAAAGGGACGGCUAACUACGUG
RNAcentral lists this ribosomal RNA (495 nucleotides) under uncultured bacterium. RNAcentral describes it as "partial 16S ribosomal RNA". It matches the Rfam family "Bacterial small subunit ribosomal RNA", at positions 28 to 507 of the family's 1533-position model. The record is from RNAcentral.